UAGGGAAUCUUCCACAGUGGACGAAAGUCUGAUGGAGCAACGCCGCGUGAGUGAAGAAGGUUUUCGGAUCGUAAAGCUCUGUUGUUGGUGAAGAAGGAUAGAGGCAGUAACUGGUCUUUAUUUGACGGUAAUCAACCAGAAAGUCACGGCUAACUACGUGCCAC
RNAcentral lists this ribosomal RNA (164 nucleotides) under uncultured bacterium. RNAcentral's name for it is "partial 16S rRNA". It matches the Rfam family "Bacterial small subunit ribosomal RNA", at positions 355 to 511 of the family's 1533-position model. The record is from RNAcentral.